CUAGGUGUAGCUCAGCAGCGAGAGCACUUGCCUUGGGAGCAAGGGGCCGGUGGUGCAAGUCCACUCACCUAGUCCC
RNAcentral lists this transfer RNA (76 nucleotides) under Deltaproteobacteria bacterium. RNAcentral describes it as "tRNA-Pro". It matches the Rfam family "tRNA". Rfam says of the family: Transfer RNA (tRNA) molecules are approximately 80 nucleotides in length. Their secondary structure includes four short double-helical elements and three loops (D, anti-codon, and T loops). Further hydrogen bonds mediate the characteristic L-shaped molecular structure. tRNAs have two regions of fundamental functional importance: the anti-codon, which is responsible for specific mRNA codon recognition, and the 3' end, to which the tRNAs corresponding amino acid is attached (by aminoacyl-tRNA synthetases). tRNAs cope with the degeneracy of the genetic code in two manners: having more than one tRNA (with a specific anti-codon) for a particular amino acid; and 'wobble' base-pairing, i.e. permitting non-standard base-pairing at the 3rd anti-codon position. The record is from RNAcentral. Lineage: Bacteria; Pseudomonadati; Myxococcota; Myxococcia.